This 633-nucleotide ribosomal RNA is filed under the name Bacillus sp. (in: firmicutes). RNAcentral describes it as "bacterial SSU rRNA". It matches the Rfam family "Bacterial small subunit ribosomal RNA", at positions 51 to 662 of the family's 1533-position model. The record is from RNAcentral. Lineage: Bacteria; Bacillati; Bacillota; Bacilli; Caryophanales; Bacillaceae.
AUACAUGCAGUCGAGCGGACGGAUGGGAAGCUUUGCUUCCCUGAAGUUCAGCGGCGGACGGGUGAAGUAACACGUGGGCAACCUGCCUGUAAGACUGGGAUAACUUCGGGAAACCGGAGCUAAUACCGGAUAAUGCACAGCCUCUCAUGAGGCUAUGCUGAAAGAUGGUUUCGGCUAUCACUUACAGAUGGGCCCGCGGCGCAUUAGCUAGUUGGUGAGGUAACGGCUCACCAAGGCAACGAUGCGUAGCCGACCUGAGAGGGUGAUCGGCCACACUGGGACUGAGACACGGCCCAGACUCCUACGGGAGGCAGCAGUAGGGAAUCUUCCGCAAUGGACGAAAGUCUGACGGAGCAACGCCGCGUGAGUGAUGAAGGUUUUCGGAUCGUAAAACUCUGUUGUCAGGGAAGAACAAGUGCCGGAGUAACUGCCGGCACCUUGACGGUACCUGACCAGAAAGCCACGGCUAACUACGUGCCAGCAGCCGCGGUAAUACGUAGGUGGCAAGCGUUGUCCGGAAUUAUUGGGCGUAAAGCGCGCGCAGGCGGUCUCUUAAGUCUGAUGUGAAAGCCCACGGCUCAACCGUGGAGGGUCAUUGGAAAACUGGGGGACUUGAGUGCAGAAGAGGAAAGU